Molecule: long non-coding RNA, 288 nt
Organism: Vigna angularis (adzuki bean)
Lineage: Eukaryota; Viridiplantae; Streptophyta; Magnoliopsida; Fabales; Fabaceae
Exons: 3
Source: RefSeq, a predicted model, not a curated record
CUCUACGCCUUAUACUGCUGCUGUUUUGGAGUACCGGGUUGUUAUUCAUGAUCCAUUGGAAGUGUCUGUUGAUGAAAAGAAGUGGCAUAAUGUAAAUGGUCACGCUGUUGUGGAUGCUCAACAUCCAGUCAGAGCAAAUGUGGCUGUGCGUAAGGAGCUUCACACUCCUGCAUCUGAUCGAUCUUAUACUCAUUUGGAAUUUGAGAUUUCAGGAACUGGAGUUGCAUAUGAAAUAGGGGACCAUGUUGGUGUUUACUGUGAGAAUUUGUCUGAAACUGUGGAAAAGGC